GGGGACGUAGCUCAGUGGUAGAGUGCUUGCCUAGCAUACCCAAGACCCUGGGUUCAAUCCCCUGUUCCCU
This 70-nucleotide transfer RNA is filed under the name Ictidomys tridecemlineatus (thirteen-lined ground squirrel). RNAcentral's name for it is "Spermophilus tridecemlineatus (thirteen-lined ground squirrel) tRNA". It matches the Rfam family "tRNA". Rfam says of the family: Transfer RNA (tRNA) molecules are approximately 80 nucleotides in length. Their secondary structure includes four short double-helical elements and three loops (D, anti-codon, and T loops). Further hydrogen bonds mediate the characteristic L-shaped molecular structure. tRNAs have two regions of fundamental functional importance: the anti-codon, which is responsible for specific mRNA codon recognition, and the 3' end, to which the tRNAs corresponding amino acid is attached (by aminoacyl-tRNA synthetases). tRNAs cope with the degeneracy of the genetic code in two manners: having more than one tRNA (with a specific anti-codon) for a particular amino acid; and 'wobble' base-pairing, i.e. permitting non-standard base-pairing at the 3rd anti-codon position. Lineage: Eukaryota; Metazoa; Chordata; Mammalia; Rodentia; Sciuridae. The record is from Rfam by way of RNAcentral.